RNAcentral lists this ribosomal RNA (587 nucleotides) under uncultured bacterium. Its description in RNAcentral is "bacterial SSU rRNA". It matches the Rfam family "Bacterial small subunit ribosomal RNA", at positions 223 to 807 of the family's 1533-position model. The record is from RNAcentral.
CGAUGGGGAUGCGUUCCAUUAGAUAGUAGGCGGGGUAACGGCCCACCUAGUCUUCGAUGGAUAGGGGUUCUGAGAGGAAGGUCCCCCACAUUGGAACUGAGACACGGUCCAAACUCCUACGGGAGGCAGCAGUGAGGAAUAUUGGUCAAUGGGCGAGAGCCUGAACCAGCCAAGUAGCGUGAAGGAUGACUGCCCUAUGGGUUGUAAACUUCUUUUAUAAAGGAAUAAAGUCGGGUAUGCAUACCCGUUUGCAUGUACUUUAUGAAUAAGGAUCGGCUAACUCCGUGCCAGCAGCCGCGGUAAUACGGAGGAUCCGAGCGUUAUCCGGAUUUAUUGGGUUUAAAGGGAGCGUAGAUGGAUGUUUAAGUCAGUUGUGAAAGUUUGCGGCUCAACCGUAAAAUUGCAGUUGAUACUGGAUAUCUUGAGUGCAGUUGAGGCAGGCGGAAUUCGUGGCGUAGCGGUGAAAUGCUUAGAUAUCACGAAGAACUCCGAUUGCGAAGGCAGCCUGCUAAGCUGCAACUGACAUUGAGGCUCGAAAGUGUGGGUAUCAAACAGGAUUAGAUACCCUGGUAGUCCACACGGUAAAC